Molecule: ribosomal RNA, 906 nt
Filed under: Verrucomicrobiaceae bacterium
Lineage: Bacteria; Pseudomonadati; Verrucomicrobiota; Verrucomicrobiia; Verrucomicrobiales; Verrucomicrobiaceae
Description: bacterial SSU rRNA
Rfam family: Bacterial small subunit ribosomal RNA
Source: RNAcentral
UUUUCGGAGAGUUUGAUUCUGGCUCAGAACGAACGCUGGCGGCGUGGAUAAGACAUGCAAGUCGAACGAGAUUUAGCAAAGCUUGCUUUGCGAGAUCUAGUGGCGAACGGGUGAGUAACACGUGAGCAACCUGCCCAGAAGCAGGGGAUAGCCCACCGAAAGGUGGAUUAAUACCGUAUGUGAUCCCAAGAGGCAUCUCUUGGAGAUUAAAGCCGGGGACCGUAAGGCCUGGCACUUCUGGAUGGGCUCGCGGCCUAUCAGCUUGUUGGUGAGGUAACGGCUCACCAAGGCGACGACGGGUAACUGGUCUGAGAGGAUGAUCAGUCACACUGGAACUGAGACACGGUCCAGACACCUACGGGUGGCAGCAGUCGAGAAUCAUUCACAAUGGGCGAAAGCCUGAUGGUGCGACGCCGCGUGGGGGAUGAAGGGCUUCGGUUCGUAAACCCCUGUCAUCUGUGAGUAAGACUCCCAAUAAAAGCUUGGGAGGUUGAUAUUAGCAGAAGAGGAAGGGACGGCUAACUCUGUGCCAGCAGCCGCGGUAAUACAGAGGUCCCAAGCGUUGUUCGGAUUUACUGGGCGUAAAGGGUGCGUAGGCGGCUGGAAAAGUUUGGUGUGAAAUCUUCGGGCUCAACCCGGAAACUGCACUGAAAACUAUCUGGCUAGAGGAUCGGAGAGGAGAUUGGAAUUCUCAGUGUAGCAGUGAAAUGCGUAGAUAUUGAGAGGAACACCAGUUGCGAAGGCGGAUCUCUGGACGAUUCCUGACGCUGAGGCACGAAGGCUAGGGUAGCGAAAGGGAUUAGAUACCCCUGUAGUCCUAGCAGUAAACGGUGCGCGUUUGGUGUGGGCAGGUUCGACCCUGUCCGUGCCGGAGCUAACGCGUUAAACGCGCCGCCUGGGGAGUAC